GAUGAACGCUGGCGGCGUGCCUAAUACAUGCAAGUCGAGCGGUAAGGCCCUUCGGGGUACACGAGCGGCGGACGGCAGAGUAACACGUAGGAACGUACCCCAAAGUGAGGGAUAGCCCACCGAAAGGUGGAUUAAUACCGCAUGUGGUCUUCGGAUUAAAGCAGCAAUGCGCUUUGGGAACGGCCUGCGUAAGAUUAGCUAGUUGGUGAGGUAACGGCUCACCAAGGCGACGAUCUUUAGCUGGUCUGAGAGGAUGAUCAGCCUGACUGGGACCGAGACACGGCCCAGACUCCUACGGGAGGCAGCAGUAGGGAAUUUUCCACAAUGGGCGAAAGCCUGAUGGAGCAACGCCGCGUGCAGGAUGAAGGCCUUCGGGUUGUAAGCUGCUUUUGUCUGAGAAGAAUAUGACGGUAACAGACGAAUAAGGGUCUGCUAACUACGUGCCAGCCGCCGCGGUAA
RNAcentral lists this ribosomal RNA (459 nucleotides) under uncultured bacterium. RNAcentral describes it as "partial 16S ribosomal RNA". It matches the Rfam family "Bacterial small subunit ribosomal RNA", at positions 28 to 523 of the family's 1533-position model. The record is from RNAcentral.